This is a long non-coding RNA of Syzygium oleosum, 1575 nucleotides long. RefSeq lists it as uncharacterized. Lineage: Eukaryota; Viridiplantae; Streptophyta; Magnoliopsida; Myrtales; Myrtaceae. The record is from RefSeq and is a predicted model, not a curated record. The transcript has 2 exons.
GCUCUGCACCUUGAGUUGAGCUUUCCAUUUGCUUCGCCGUCGAAAGAAGCAGCAGAUCAAUGCCAAACUGAUCAUGAGGGAAGCCCCAACUACAACACCUGAAAACAAAGAAACAGAUGACAUGAGACAGCAUUUGACAGGAAGAUUAAAGUACCUCCAACCAGAACAAUUAUUCUGGUGGUUCCUCCACAUUGGCCAGAGAGAUACUUUGCAGGAUUGCACAUGAAUGCGUCUGCUCGCAAGAUAAAAAUCAGAAAACAAGGUCAGCUCUCAGCAGGAUGAGGAUUUUCGGGAUCACAUACAUAAAACAACACAGACAUUUUGACUCGAUAAACUCUUCGGAGCCGCCACGAUCUGCACGACCGAAAUCGAUUUCCCAUGAAGCCUAAGUUCGGGUUAAGCACGAAAAGUAAGAGCUAGCUCGACACUGAAGACAUAGAACUAAAAAGGAGCAGUCAAACUAUCAUUAUCUACUAGAAUGUCUUUGAGUCCAGACAAAGUGAAAGAGCUAACAAUGUCGAGGUUAAGUUCAAAGUUCUCGAUCACUUGUGCCCUCCAAAGUCAAGAGAUUCUAGACGUUGGAUGGACCUCUUUGCACUUUGCGCCCCUGAAGUCCAGAGGCUCAGACAUCACCAAGACCCCACACAAAAAUCUGCCGUUCUUCCGUUGACUUUUGUGUAAUCCUAGAGAUCAAAAUCACUUGGGGAGCAUAUUCAGCAUCGUUCAAAGGGAUCCGCAGAUUUCAGUGGCGAUCUUUGUUAGGUGAAACAACCCAUUCUUGAGCGCGACGGGCUGCUUGUUCUUCUAUCCCCCCGUGCCAGACAAAAGAGAGGACAACAAUGGCGGAUCGUUCUUUAACGAAUCAGCAAGAAAAACGGGACACCGGCCCAAAUAUUAUAUUGUAUCCACUUUGACCUGACUUUACGACGAAACUUUGAUUAAGACGAUGUUAAUUGUCUUUGAAAAGGGUCCCCCAUGUAAUGUAUUAUUGUCCGCCCGCUAGUGGGGUCACUGUGCGCUCUUACUUUUGGUGCGUUCUAGUGGGCAAACGUGCCCGUUUAACCGUACCACCCACCAUGGACAACGAAGUUCCAUGCUGUGAUCAUAAAGGAAAUGAUCUUGUCUAUGGACAGAAAAUGGGGUCUCGUCCGGCCAUGAGCAUUAAUGGCAUCCACUUGAAUAGGAUGGGAUAGGAUAGCAUCCCCUCGGCUCGGAUUGACUUUCCCGGUCGAGUUCGAAGGAUUCGUGCCGUGUGCUUUCUUCAUAAAUGGUGAUAUGGAGGAGUUACUAGCAUGAAUUUUGUGUAUCUACUGAAUUAAAUGCGAGUAUUUAUAGAGGUUGGUCUCACCAAAACUCGGUUUUUAGUGAAUGAUUUCUUCGGCUAGCAAAAGAUUGGAAUUGGAGUGAAGUCAUAACGUAAGGCGACGAAAUAAAGAAAAACUUUAAGACCCUUCCUCCAGCUACGAUUCACGACUGGUUUGUUGAUUGUAAAUAUUUCGCGAGCUUUGAUUCCUUUUAAAGCCUUUUCAGGGAUUGUUGGUGGAAAAUUUAUGGUAGGAGAGAGGUUCUCAUGAA